GUUAAGCGACUAAGCGUACACGGUGGAUGCCCUGGCAGUCAGAGGCGAUGAAGGACGUGCUAAUCUGCGAUAAGCGUCGGUAAGGUGAUAUGAACCGUUAUAACCGGCGAUUUCCGAAUGGGGAAACCCAGUGUGAUUUGUCACACUAUCAUUAACUGAAUCCAUAGGUUAAUGAGGCGAACCGGGGGAACUGAAACAUCUAAGUACCCCGAGGAAAAGAAAUCAACCGAGAUUCCCCCAGUAGCGGCGAGCGAACGGGGAGCAGCCCAGAGCCUGAAUCAGUGUGUGUGUUAGUGGAAGCGUCUGGAAAGGCGCGCGAUACAGGGUGACAGCCCCGUACACAAAAAUGCACAUACUGUGAGCUCGAUGAGUAGGGCGGGACACGUGGUAUCCUGUCUGAAUAUGGGGGGACCAUCCUCCAAGGCUAAAUACUCCUGACUGACCGAUAGUGAACCAGUACCGUGAGGGAAAGGCGAAAAGAACCCCGGCGAGGGGAGUGAAAAAGAACCUGAAACCGUGUACGUACAAGCAGUGGGAGCCUCUUUAUGGGGUGACUGCGUACCUUUUGUAUAAUGGGUCAGCGACUUAUAUUCUGUAGCAAGGUUAACCGAAUAGGGGAGCCGAAGGGAAACCGAGUCUUAACUGGGCGUUAAGUUGCAGGGUAUAGACCCGAAACCCGGUGAUCUAGCCAUGGGCAGGUUGAAGGUUGGGUAACACUAACUGGAGGACCGAACCGACUAAUGUUGAAAAAUUAGCGGAUGACUUGUGGCUGGGGGUGAAAGGCCAAUCAAACCGGGAGAUAGCUGGUUCUCCCCGAAAGCUAUUUAGGUAGCGCCUCGUGAACUCAUCUCCGGGGGUAGAGCACUGUUUCGGCAAGGGGGUCAUCCCGACUUACCAACCCGAUGCAAACUGCGAAUACCGGAGAAUGUUAUCACGGGAGACACACGGCGGGUGCUAACGUCCGUCGUGAAGAGGGAAACAACCCAGACCGCCAGCUAAGGUCCCAAAGUCAUGGUUAAGUGGGAAACGAUGUGGGAAGGCCCAGACAGCCAGGAUGUUGGCUUAGAAGCAGCCAUCAUUUAAAGAAAGCGUAAUAGCUCACUGGUCGAGUCGGCCUGCGCGGAAGAUGUAACGGGGCUAAACCAUGCACCGAAGCUGCGGCAGCGACACUAUGUGUUGUUGGGUAGGGGAGCGUUCUGUAAGCCUGCGAAGGUGUGCUGUGAGGCAUGCUGGAGGUAUCAGAAGUGCGAAUGCUGACAUAAGUAACGAUAAAGCGGGUGAAAAGCCCGCUCGCCGGAAGACCAAGGGUUCCUGUCCAACGUUAAUCGGGGCAGGGUGAGUCGACCCCUAAGGCGAGGCCGAAAGGCGUAGUCGAUGGGAAACAGGUUAAUAUUCCUGUACUUGGUGUUACUGCGAAGGGGGGACGGAGAAGGCUAUGUUGGCCGGGCGACGGUUGUCCCGGUUUAAGCGUGUAGGCUGGUUUUCCAGGCAAAUCCGGAAAAUCAAGGCUGAGGCGUGAUGACGAGGCACUACGGUGCUGAAGCAACAAAUGCCCUGCUUCCAGGAA
This 1567-nucleotide ribosomal RNA is filed under the name Escherichia coli. RNAcentral's name for it is "partial 23S ribosomal RNA". It matches the Rfam family "Bacterial large subunit ribosomal RNA", at positions 1 to 1614 of the family's 2925-position model. The record is from RNAcentral. Lineage: Bacteria; Pseudomonadati; Pseudomonadota; Gammaproteobacteria; Enterobacterales; Enterobacteriaceae.